Molecule: long non-coding RNA, 1288 nt
Organism: Homarus americanus (American lobster)
Lineage: Eukaryota; Metazoa; Arthropoda; Malacostraca; Decapoda; Nephropidae
Exons: 3
Source: RefSeq, a predicted model, not a curated record
UCCGGCCAGCUAAGGUGGUUGUGUGUAUUGCUGUUCUGAACCGUGCUGUGUGUCGCUCUUAGUAGGGUUCAAAUCAAUCCCGUAAAGUAAGAUAAGUCUAAGAAGUAACACUCAUUGACCAAUCCAAGGUCAUUAAAAUAAUCUAAAUGUUGAAAGGAAAAGUUUAUGUUAAGUUUCUCAAGACAAUAUAUCCGUAAAAACUACUUAGUGAAGAAAGUUAGUUGCUGGUAAGGUUGAGAAGUGUCGGACAGACUGAUCGAGUGAUGUAAAAAAUAUUGGAUAAAAACUAAACAAACAUUAAUUUUAAGUUUGUAUAUAGAUAAUAAUAACAAUGUCACACCACUCACUGAAGACUUUAAUUGAUGGUGAUUGAUCUCGUUAUUAUUGACUUUAAGGAGACACCAAGCAGAUAAUACAGAUUGUGUCCUGGUCUACAGUGACACGAUAGCGUUCCUACAGUGACACGAUAGCGUUCCUACAGUGACACGAUAGCGUUCCUACAGUGACACGAUAGCGUUCCUACAGUGAGACGAUAGCGCUCUUUCAGUGACACGUAUCAACAAACUUUCUACAGUGAGAUGUCAGAUUUGCUGCAGUGACGUGUAGUGAAUGAAGUACUACUGUGACAAUGCUACAGUGAAUGAACUACAGUGGCAACGCUAUAGUGAAUGAGCUACAGUGACAAAUACACAGUGAACUAAGUCAAGUCAAAUUUUUUUUAUUGUAUAUGAAUCUUAAUUUGCAAAGUCUCUGUAAAAUGACCUGACCUUUUUUGACCUGAUAACAGUGGUGAACGACCGAGUGAUUCUUGGAUACAACUACUUGGGGUGGUUUAUGUACGACUCAUUGGACGACCUCUGAGAUAAGAACUAUUGGCAACCCUUAAGACGACCACGAUUGAAAUCUCUGAAACGACUCAAUAAAGCCUUACGAGACGACCUUAAAAACACCAAUCAAACCCUGCGAAAACGACCCUCAAACGACCUUCAUCUAUAAAGUCGUCGCCGUCGUUCCUGCUAGUGACAUUCUGACCCUACCACGACUAUGUCAGGUCAAAGGUCACUACACUGUAUCUUUCUCCUCCUGGCGAUCAUCACAGAUACCGUGGUGGACAGUAAAGUGAGGAUCGACCCGAGGAGGAAUGACGUGGAGGAACCCUUAUCCAUUCCAGAGGCAUCCCCGUCACCAGAUCCGGGGCCACACUUUGCCCCGGAUUCGCCCCAUCAAGUGGUAGCGGCAGUAGGCACCCCGGCACACAUCCCCUGUAAACCCCGGAGUCUCGGGUCCA